CACGUUUCUCUUCUCUCUCCAUCACCGUCUCUCUACCUCACCGUCUCUCUCUUUCUCUCUAUCUUCCUCUUUUCUCUCUCUCUUGCUCACGUCUAUCUCCGCCAUUCUCUCUAGCGGAGUCUUGGCUGGAAUCACCUAAAUUAAUCGGAAUUAUCGAGUUUCCAAGUGAGGGUUUGGUGUAAUCAAGUUUAGGUUGAAGAAUUGAGAGGUGAAAGAUGAAAGCCCGAAUUGAUUCUUCAAAGGAAGUGCCGCAACGUUUUAUGAACAGAGUUUUGAGAAUCCGGAGGCACUAGUAUAAACCAUAAGAGGUCAGCUUCACAUCGGUGGUGGUGGUCGGAAUGGGUCGAAGAAGACGAGCUGUCCAGAGUUGAAUUUCAGCUUUUGGUCCUUUGAAGAAUUAAUUGCUCGGAGGCCUUAAAGGUUGAAUAUUGACGAUCAGGACACACGGUUAGAAACCUUGAGAUGUUAGCUUUCGAUUGGUGUUGGAGCUCGGUAGUAUUAAUCGGCGGUGGUUGCCGGAAUUGGGCGAGAAGUUCAGCCUGCUCGCUGGAUCUAUAAUGAAAUCUGCUGCCGCACCUGUUUUCGGAGCCGAAAUCGAAGGGUUUCGAAUGCGAAUUUGGAAUCGGUUCCUUCAGGAAACUCGUAGAGGACAUCGUAAACUGUAAGUAAGUGUUCAAUCAUAUCGAAUUAGAGUAUUUAAUAUACGUGUUUUAGAGGUCGGAAUCCGAUGACAGUAAUCUGCCGGAAACAGGGCAGUUUUGAGUAUCUUCUUGCGGGACUGUUUUCGAUAUGUUGGGAUCAUAAUUUGGGCUGUGCGUCUGGAUGAAACUUGUAGAUUAAGUUGUCAGGUUUCAUUUGAUGUAUUAUUUGGACAAUUUGGAUAACCGUACGAUUUGUUAUGAUUUUCCAAAGAAACUGUGACAGCAAACGAAAUUAUCCAAAAAAUCUGGCAGGUUUAUGUACUCAUCUUUCGGGGUUAUUAUUGAC
This 987-nucleotide long non-coding RNA is filed under the name Erythranthe guttata (spotted monkey flower). Its description in RNAcentral is "long non-coding RNA (EGUT_LNC001716)". The record is from RNAcentral. Lineage: Eukaryota; Viridiplantae; Streptophyta; Magnoliopsida; Lamiales; Phrymaceae.